GGCGGCGUGCUUAACACAUGCAAGUCGAACGCGAAAGGGACUUCGGUCCUGAGUAAAGUGGCGCACGGGUGAGUAACGCGUAGAUAACCUGUCUUCAUGUCUGGAAUAAUACGCCGAAAGGGGUACUAAUACCGGAUAUUCUUGCUUUUCAUAAGUUAUGCAAGCAAAGGUGGCCUCUGCAUAUGCUACUGCAUGAAGAGGGGUCUGCGUACCAUUAGCUAGUAGGUGGGGUAAUGGCCUACCUAGGCGACGAUGGUUAGCGGGUCUGAGAGGAUGAUCCGCCACACUGGCACUGGAACACGGGCCAGACUCCUACGGGAGGCAGCAGUGAGGAAUAUUGCGCAAUGGGGGAAACCCUGACGCAGCGACGCCGCGUGAGUGAGGAAGGCCUUCGGGUCGUAAAGCUCUGUCAAGAGGAAAGAAGUGUACAAUGGCUAAUACCUGUUGUAUUUGACGGUACCUCUAAAGGAAGCACCGGCUAACUCCGUGCCAGCCGCGGC
This 500-nucleotide ribosomal RNA is filed under the name uncultured bacterium. RNAcentral describes it as "bacterial SSU rRNA". It matches the Rfam family "Bacterial small subunit ribosomal RNA", at positions 38 to 518 of the family's 1533-position model. The record is from RNAcentral.